GAUCACAAGAUGCAAGGAUUUUCAAACAAGUAUCUAGAUCUGCAGGUAAAAGUUAGUUCCUAUCUUUUCUCUCUACUAAUUUAUCUCUUCAGUCAAAGUCUGCUUCCAUGAAUCAAACCUUAAUGGUGGUUGUCACCAAAUCAUGUUCACUUCUUUUUGAACUAUAUCCAAUAAUUUAUAUGAAUCGAGCCUUAAAGAUUGCCUCCACCAAGUCCCGUUCGAAUUCUUUUUGUUGGAAUCCUUAUGAAGCAAGACUUAAUUGUUUUAGCCACCAAGUCCUGUUCAGAUUCCUCCUAACUAACAUCUAUUAUAUAUAUAUAUAUAUAUCUUUUUCUUUUUCUUUUUCUUGUUCUUUUUCUUUCUUUUCUCUUUGUUUAUUUUUAAUUAUCUCUACCUAUAAAUCUAGAGUCAAAAUAGAGAGAGAAAAAGUGAAGAAUCCGAUCCCAU
This 447-nucleotide long non-coding RNA is filed under the name Brassica rapa (field mustard). RNAcentral describes it as "long non-coding RNA (BRAP_LNC002791)". The record is from RNAcentral. Lineage: Eukaryota; Viridiplantae; Streptophyta; Magnoliopsida; Brassicales; Brassicaceae.